GACGAACGCUGGCGGCGUGCUUAACACAUGCAAGUCGAACGGAAAGGCCCUGCUUUUGUGGGGUGCUCGAGUGGCGAACGGGUGAGUAACACGUGAGUAACCUGCCCUUGACUUUGGGAUAACUUCAGGAAACUGGGGCUAAUACCGGAUAGGAGCUCCUGCUGCAUGGUGGGGGUUGGAAAGUUUCGGCGGUUGGGGAUGGACUCGCGGCUUAUCAGCUUGUUGGUGGGGUAGUGGCUUACCAAGGCUUUGACGGGUAGCCGGCCUGAGAGGGUGACCGGCCACAUGGGGACUGGGAUACGGCCCAGACUCCUACGGGGGGAAGGGGGGGGGAAUAUUGCAAAAGGGGGGGAAGCCUGAUGCGGCAACGCCGGGGGGGGGGUGGGGGCCUUCGGGUUGUAACCCGUUUUCGCCUGGGACGAAGGGGGAGUGACGGUAAUGGGAAAAGAAGCACCGGCUAACUACGU
This 467-nucleotide ribosomal RNA is filed under the name uncultured bacterium. Its description in RNAcentral is "partial 16S ribosomal RNA". It matches the Rfam family "Bacterial small subunit ribosomal RNA", at positions 28 to 506 of the family's 1533-position model. The record is from RNAcentral.